GGGGGGCUGGCGCAACGGUAGCGCGUCAGAUUCCAGCAAACUGGAAUCUCCUGAAGGUUAAGGGUUCAAAUCCCUUGUCCCUCA
Non-coding RNA from Fusarium duplospermum, 84 nucleotides. NCBI's taxonomy places the organism in Eukaryota, Fungi, Ascomycota, Sordariomycetes, Hypocreales, Nectriaceae. The record is from the annotation of a GenBank genome assembly.